CAUUACAGAGAACAUCGCCCUCACGGGUGACUCUCCAACCCUAUGUUAUUGUACCUUUGUUGCUUUGGCGAGCCGCUUCGGCCACCGGCUUCUGCUGGUGCGUGCUCGCCAGAGGACCCCAAACUCUGAAUAUUAAUGUCGUCUGAGUACUAUAUAAUAGUUAAAACUUUCAACAACGGAUCUCUUGGUUCUGGCAUCGAUGAAGAACGCAGCGAAAUGCGAUAAGUAAUGUGAAUUGCAGAAUUCAGUGAAUCAUCGAAUCUUUGAACGCACAUUGCGCCCUGUGGUAUUCCGCAGGGCAUGCCUGUUCGAGCGUCAGUACAACACUCAAGCCCAGCUUGGUAUUGAACCACAUCCGCAAGGAUCGGUUUUAAAAUCAGUGGCGGCGCCAUCUGGCUCUAAGCGUAGUAAUUCUUCUCGCUUCUGGGUCCUGAUGGAUGCUGGCCAGCAACCCCCAACUUUCUAAGUUGACCUCGGAUCAGGUAGGGAUACCC
RNAcentral lists this ribosomal RNA (494 nucleotides) under uncultured Ascomycota. RNAcentral describes it as "eukaryotic LSU rRNA". The stretch from base 165 to 318 matches the Rfam family "5.8S ribosomal RNA". The record is from RNAcentral. Lineage: Eukaryota; Fungi; Ascomycota.